Small nucleolar RNA from Panicum virgatum (switchgrass), 136 nucleotides. RefSeq annotates it as small nucleolar RNA Z247. Lineage: Eukaryota; Viridiplantae; Streptophyta; Magnoliopsida; Poales; Poaceae. The record is from RefSeq and is a predicted model, not a curated record. The transcript has a single exon.
ACGGUAGAUGCAGAUGAUAUGGUCGGGUACAUUCUUAACGGCCUUGAUUUUGAUUACAACCCUGUUGUUUCAUCUGUUCUUGGUCGUGCUGACCCCAUUACGUUGAGCGAUCUUCAUGCUCAACUAAUGGCCUAUG